Molecule: ribosomal RNA, 309 nt
Filed under: uncultured bacterium
Lineage: Bacteria
Description: bacterial SSU rRNA
Rfam family: Bacterial small subunit ribosomal RNA
Source: RNAcentral
GACGAACGCUGGCGGCGUGCCUAACACGUGCAAGUCGAACGGAGCAGAUCCCUUCGGGGGUUUGCUUAGUGGCGAACGGGUGAGUAACGCGUGAGGAACCUGCCUUUCAGUGGGGGACAACAGUUGGAAACGACUGCUAAUACCGCAUAAUGCUUUUGAGCCGGCAUCGGCUUGAAAGCCAAAGGUUUAUCGCUGAAAGAUGGUCUCGCGUCUGAUUAGCUAGUUGGUGAGGUAACGGCUCACCAAGGCGACGAUCAGUAGCCGGUCUGAGAGGAUGAACGGCCACAUUGGGACUGAGAUACGGCCCAG